UCGAGGGGUAACAGGGAAGCUUGCUUCCGCUGACGACCGGCGCACGGGUGCGUAACGCGUAUGCAACCUACCUCUUACAGGGGAAUAGCCCGAAGAAAUUCGGAUUAAUACCCCAUGGUAUUACAGAUUCGCAUGAUGAAGUAAUUAAAGACUUAUCGGUAAGAGAUGGGCAUGCGUCUGAUUAGAUUGUUGGUGAGGUGACGGCUCACCAAGUCGACGAUCAGUAGGGGUUCUGAGAGGAAGAUCCCCCACACUGGCACUGAGAUACGGGCCAGACUCCUACGGGAGGCAGCAGUAGGGAAUAUUGGUCAAUGGAGGCAACUCUGAACCAGCCAUGCCGCGUGUAGGAAGAACGCCUUCUGGGUUGUAAACUACUUUUACAUAGGAAGAAAACGCCAUGCGUGGUAAUAUGACGGUACUAUAUGAAUAAGCACCGGCUAACUCCGUGCCAGCAGCCGCGGUAAUACGGAGGGCGCAAGCGUUGUCCGGAUUUAUUGGGUUUAAAGGGUGCGUAGGCGGUUUAUUAAGUCGGAGUUGAAAUCCCACAGCUUAACUGUGGAACUGGCUCCGAUACUGGUUAACUUGAGUAUGGUUGAGGUAGGCGGAAUUUAAGAUGUAGCGGUGAAAUGCAUAGAUAUCUUAAAGAACACCAAUUGCGUAGGCAGCUUACUGGA
RNAcentral lists this ribosomal RNA (674 nucleotides) under uncultured marine bacterium. RNAcentral describes it as "bacterial SSU rRNA". It matches the Rfam family "Bacterial small subunit ribosomal RNA", at positions 62 to 733 of the family's 1533-position model. The record is from RNAcentral.